AGCGAACGCUGGCGGCAUGCUUAACACAUGCAAGUCGAGCGGGCACUUCGGUGUCAGCGUCAGACGGGGGAGUAACACGUGGGAACGUACCCUUUGGUUCGGAAUAACGCGGGGAAACUAGCGCUAAUACCGGAUACGCUCUUUUGGGGAAAGGCUUGCUGCCGAAGGAUCGGCCCGCGUCUGAUUAGCUAGUUGGUGGGGUAAUGGCCUACCAAGGCGACGAUCAGUAGCUGGUCAGAGAGGAUGAUCCGCCACACUGGGACUGAGACACGGCCCAGACUCUUACGGGAGGGAGCAGUGGGGGAUAUUGCAAUAUGGGCGGAAGGAUGAUGCAGCCAUGCCGGGUGAGUGAUGAAGGCCUUAGGGUUGUAAAGCUCUUUUGUCCGGGACGAUAAUGACGGUACCGGAAGAAUAAGCCCCGGCUAACUUCGUG
RNAcentral lists this ribosomal RNA (433 nucleotides) under uncultured bacterium. RNAcentral describes it as "partial 16S ribosomal RNA". It matches the Rfam family "Bacterial small subunit ribosomal RNA", at positions 29 to 507 of the family's 1533-position model. The record is from RNAcentral.